This 490-nucleotide ribosomal RNA is filed under the name uncultured bacterium. Its description in RNAcentral is "partial 16S ribosomal RNA". It matches the Rfam family "Bacterial small subunit ribosomal RNA", at positions 29 to 507 of the family's 1533-position model. The record is from RNAcentral.
AGUGAACGCUGGCGGUAGGCCUAACACAUGCAAGUCGAACGGCAGCACAGGAGAGCUUGCUCUCUGGGUGGCGAGUGGCGGACGGGUGAGGAAUACAUCGGAAUCUGCCCAGUCGUGGGGGAUAACGUAGGGAAACUUACGCUAAUACCGCAUACGACCUUCGGGUGAAAGAGGGGGAUCGCAAGACCUCUCGCGAUUGGAUGAGCCGAUGUCGGAUUAGCUAGUUGGCGGGGUAAUGGCCCACCAAGGCGACGAUCCGUAGCUGGUCUGAGAGGAUGAUCAGCCACACUGGAACUGAGACACGGUCCAGACUCCUACGGGAGGCAGCAGUGGGGAACAUUGGACAAUGGGCGCAAGCCUGAUCCAGCCAUACCGCGUGGGUGAAGAAGGCCUUCGGGUUGUAAAGCCCUUUUGUUGGGAAAGAAAUCUUUCAGGCUAAUACCCUGGGAGGAUGACGGUACCCAAAGAAUAAGCACCGGCUAACUUCGUG